RNAcentral lists this ribosomal RNA (492 nucleotides) under uncultured bacterium. RNAcentral describes it as "partial 16S ribosomal RNA". It matches the Rfam family "Bacterial small subunit ribosomal RNA", at positions 29 to 507 of the family's 1533-position model. The record is from RNAcentral.
AGUGAACGCUGGCGGUAGGCCUAACACAUGCAAGUCGAACGGCAGCACAGUAAGAGCUUGCUCUUACGGGUGGCGAGUGACGGACGGGUGAGGAAUACAUCGGAAUCUACUUUUUCGUGGGGGAUAACGUAGGGAAACUUACGCUAAUACCGCAUACGACCUACGGGUGAAAGCAGGGGAUCUUCGGACCUUGCGCGAUUGAAUGAGCCGAUGUCGGAUUAGCCAGUUGGCGGGGUAAAGGCCCACCAAGGCGACGAUCCGUAGCUGGUCUGAGAGGAUGAUCAGCCACACUGGAACUGAGACACGGUCCAGACUCCUACGGGAGGCAGCAGUGGGGAAUAUUGGACAAUGGGCGCAAGCCUGAUCCAGCCAUACCGCGUGGGUGAAGAAGGCCUUCGGGUUGUAAAGCCCUUUUGUUGGGAAAGAAAAGCAGCAGGUUAAUACCCCGCUGUUCUGACGGUACCCAAAGAAUAAGCACCGGCUAACUUCGUG